Molecule: non-coding RNA, 113 nt
Filed under: Bacillus sp. (in: firmicutes)
Lineage: Bacteria; Bacillati; Bacillota; Bacilli; Caryophanales; Bacillaceae
Also listed under: 1 other name
Description: Bacillus sp. SAM-I sequence
Rfam family: SAM riboswitch aptamer (S box leader)
About the family: The SAM riboswitch is found upstream of a number of genes which code for proteins involved in methionine or cysteine biosynthesis in Gram-positive bacteria. The SAM riboswitch acts at the level of transcription termination control.
Source: RNAcentral
UUCUUAUCAAGAGAGGUAGAGGGACUGGCCCGAAGACACCUCAGCAACCUUCAAUGGCGUGCCCAUUGAAAAGGUGCUAAUUCCUGCAAAUUUUGUAAUUUGCGAGAUAAGAA